AUGCUCACUGCAAAAGCACUUACACCCAAACUGGAACCAGACAGAGAAGGUUAGCAUGGCUGGGGUGAGGAUGACAGGCAAAUUUGUGAAGUAUUCCUGUUUUUC
RNAcentral lists this small nuclear RNA (105 nucleotides) under Procavia capensis (Cape rock hyrax). Lineage: Eukaryota; Metazoa; Chordata; Mammalia; Hyracoidea; Procaviidae. The record is from RNAcentral.